This 253-nucleotide ribosomal RNA is filed under the name uncultured bacterium. RNAcentral describes it as "partial 16S ribosomal RNA". It matches the Rfam family "Bacterial small subunit ribosomal RNA", at positions 99 to 353 of the family's 1533-position model. The record is from RNAcentral.
CGGACGGGUGAGUAAUGUCUGGGAAACUGCCUGAUGGAGGGGGAGUAACUACUGGAAACGGUAGCUAAUACCGCAUAACGUCGCAAGACCAAAGAGGGGGACCUUCGGGCCUCUUGCCAUCGGAUGUGCCCAGAUGGGAUUAGCUAGUAGGUGGGGUAACGGCUCACCUAGGCGACAUCCCUAGCUGGUCUGAGAGGAUGACCAGCCACACUGGAACUGAGACACGGUCCAGACUCCUACGGGAGGCAGCAUG